AGGAUGCCAGAGAAGUGGUCUCAGUGGAACUUUUUCUUCUUCAGAUUUUUAUUCACAAAAACAAAAGACAUAUAAAAGCACAUUAAUAAGGAAGCCUUUUGAUGGAGAAGUGAGGCCAGGAGCAUCGUGGGCUACUUCUCCAGAAGGUUUCGGGUGGCAAGAUUCAACAAUACUUCAUGUCAGCUAACCAUAGCAGAAGAGAAAGACAAGCCUAUAUUCCUGCUGUAAAGUUGUACCCACAAAAGUGUAUCUGUCAGUGCGUGCCUCCUGUGGAGCACAUCACACCAGCCAGGUUAAGUGGGAUUCAAGGGCCCUCCAGGAAGGACGGCCUAGAUUUUGAUUCAACACUGACUGAGGAAGCAUCUGCAUAAAUGAGUUCUGGAGGCUGGGAAGUCCAAGAUGAAAGUGCUGGCAGAUUGGUGUCUGAUGGCUGAGUGUGCAAUAAUCAUGGGAGCACUCACAUGUUUCAGGCCACUGCAGCUGGGUAAACAUCAUGUAGAGCCAUUAUUGCAGGCAGCGGGAAUGGACCAUCUACAGGAAAUGGGUACCUGAGAGAACAGACAUUAGGUGAAUUUAUGUUCUCGUAUUCAGUAAUCACCACUUUUCAUAUGUUACUCUUAGCCAGGUGUAUUUGUUAUUUUUGAAAAUGAUUGUCUUCCUACUCUCACCCCCACACAUGUUUUAUUCUCAACACUUUUUGUUUUUGUUUUAAAUCCAUUCCUUUUACCUAUACAACUCACUCGCUGAUUCUUCAGAGUUCUUUCAUUAUAUUUUGUUUUGUCUUCUUAUUUCCUUAAACUGCUGGGCUGAUUUUAUUUUUUAGAACUGCCUAUUUUGGUGCCUCUUUCCCUAACUCCUAACCUUCUUAACCUCCUGGUAUUACUGGCAAAACUACCAGCAUCAGGGCAUUUAUCACGGGAAGAUGGAGUGAAGGGGGCUGCAUCGCCAUUCCUCACAAUGCAUGAGCUUUUAGUAGCAAGCCACAUUCAUACAGAAAUGAGUACGGACAGUGACAUCGAGAUCACGCUUGUGAAUUGUCACACCUGUGUUCUUGGCCAUCCAAAAACCUCCACCCAACACUGCAGGUAAUUUGAUCAUUGACUGUUCAGACAUUAGUUACGAAGACAAC
Molecule: long non-coding RNA, 1129 nt
Organism: Equus caballus (horse)
Lineage: Eukaryota; Metazoa; Chordata; Mammalia; Perissodactyla; Equidae
Source: RefSeq, a predicted model, not a curated record